GUCUACAGCCAUACCACCUUGAACACCCAAUCUCAUUUCAUCUUGGAAGCUGAUGAGCAGGGUCCAGCCUGGUUUAGUACUUGGAUGGGAGACUGAAGAACAAGAAAUUUAGAGC
This is a ribosomal RNA of Cricetulus griseus (Chinese hamster), 115 nucleotides long. The record is from Ensembl. NCBI's taxonomy places the organism in Eukaryota, Metazoa, Chordata, Mammalia, Rodentia, Cricetidae.